This 345-nucleotide unclassified non-coding RNA is filed under the name soil metagenome. RNAcentral describes it as "partial contains 5.8S ribosomal RNA, internal transcribed spacer 2, and large subunit ribosomal RNA". The stretch from base 1 to 120 matches the Rfam family "5.8S ribosomal RNA", at positions 35 to 154 of the family's 154-position model. The record is from RNAcentral.
GAUGAAGAACGUAGCGAAAUGCGAUAAGUAAUGUGAAUUGCAGAAUUCAGUGAAUCAUCGAAUCUUUGAACGCACAUUGCGCCCGGUAGUAUUCUGCCGGGCAUGCCUGUUCGAGCGUCAUUGCUGCCCUCAAGCACGGCUUGUGUGUUGGGCCUCCGUCCUCCUCCCGGGGGACGGGCCCGAAAGGCAGCGGCGGCACCGCGUCCGGUCCUCGAGCGUAUGGGGCUUCGUCACCCGCUCUUGUAGGCCCGGCCGGCGCUUGCCGACACAUCAAUCUUUUUUCCAGGUUGACCUCGGAUCAGGUAGGGAUACCCGCUGAACUUAAGCAUAUCAAUAAGCGGAGGA